AAAGGACGGACCUUCGGGAGCUUGCACAGGUGCUGCAUGGCUGUCGUCAGCUCGUGUCGUGAGAUGUUCGGUUAAGUCCGCUAACGAGCGCAACCCUCACUGUGUGUUAUAUGUGUCACACGGGACUGCCGGUUUUAAGCCGGAGGAAGGUGGGGAUGACGUCAAGUCAGCAUGGCCUUUAUAUCCUGGGCUACACACACGCUACAAUGGUCGGUACAAUAGGUUGCCAAGCCGCGAGGCGGAGCCAAUCCAAAAAGACCGGCCUCAGUUCAGAUUGUAGGCUGCAACUCGCCUGCAUGAAGAUGGAGUUGCUAGUAACCGCAGGUCAGCAAUACUGCGGUGAAUACGUUCCCGGGUCUU
This 360-nucleotide ribosomal RNA is filed under the name uncultured Anaerolineaceae bacterium. Its description in RNAcentral is "bacterial SSU rRNA". It matches the Rfam family "Bacterial small subunit ribosomal RNA", at positions 1004 to 1382 of the family's 1533-position model. Lineage: Bacteria; Bacillati; Chloroflexota; Anaerolineae; Anaerolineales; Anaerolineaceae. The record is from RNAcentral.